AAACUUUCAACAACGGAUCUCUUGGUUCUGGCAUCGAUGAAGAACGCAGCGAAAUGCGAUAAGUAAUGUGAAUUGCAGAAUUCAGUGAAUCAUCGAAUCUUUGAACGCACAUUGCGCCCUUUGGUAUUCCGAAGGGCAUGCCUGUUCGAGCGUCAUUACAACCCUCAAGC
This 170-nucleotide ribosomal RNA is filed under the name Lophodermium agathidis. RNAcentral describes it as "5.8S ribosomal RNA". It matches the Rfam family "5.8S ribosomal RNA". Rfam says of the family: 5.8S ribosomal RNA (5.8S rRNA) is a component of the large subunit of the eukaryotic ribosome. It is transcribed by RNA polymerase I as part of the 45S precursor that also contains 18S and 28S rRNA. Functionally, it is thought that 5.8S rRNA may be involved in ribosome translocation. Lineage: Eukaryota; Fungi; Ascomycota; Leotiomycetes; Rhytismatales; Rhytismataceae. The record is from RNAcentral.